GCCAGUUCUCCCCUGUGUUGCUGUGCUACUCUUCUAAAUCUAAACCAGGACUUCAGGUCAUUGGGCAGGUUUCUUUGCGAAGGACCACAGGCUCAGGUACAUUCAACACUGCCAGGUUGGAUACAAGGAUAACAGGAUGUUUUGUGUGCCACAGGAGCCCCUCUGACAUUAAGUUACACAGGACAAACUCAUAAUUCUCAUCCGUAUCAUCUUGGAAAAUACUUUGCCUCCAUCCCUCCUCACCCCCUCUCUUGCCUCCUACCACCAGAACUAAGAGAUUCCUCUGGUGCAUGGCAAAGCCCAUGGCCUCUCCCUCCUGGAUGUGGUCCAGUGAGUCUGCAGAGUCUGUUUUGUCUGUGAGCUGGUGCACUCUGCUAGCA
This 380-nucleotide long non-coding RNA is filed under the name Homo sapiens (human). RNAcentral's name for it is "non-protein coding lnc-TBRG4-3:1". The record is from RNAcentral. Lineage: Eukaryota; Metazoa; Chordata; Mammalia; Primates; Hominidae.